This 2580-nucleotide unclassified non-coding RNA is filed under the name Hevea brasiliensis (rubber tree). Lineage: Eukaryota; Viridiplantae; Streptophyta; Magnoliopsida; Malpighiales; Euphorbiaceae. The record is from RNAcentral.
CAAAAUCCUAGUUUUAUAGCCCCUCUGUUUUUCCCCUUUUCGUUGUGCCGCCACCGUUCUAUGCGCCUCCAUCAUCAUCAUCGCCAUCCUCCUCCUCCCACUCCCCAUCAUCACCAGAAGCUAGGGUUUCCGGGGUUUUCUCUCACCUUACGAGCUGGAUUCUCUCUCCUUUAUCUGGCGAAUCUCUAUGCGCCGCUGGUUCAGCGGUUUUGUUGAUUAGGCUCUGGUGUAUCGGGCCUCUCUCUUUCCCCACAUAUCAUCUGUUUUCUCUCGAUCCCUAAACGCAUCACACAUAAUCUCCAAACCUUGGAUUUACGGUCCAUUUCAUUUGACCUGGUUUAUCAAUUAGGGCAACGUUGAUUGCUUGCUUUGGUUUGAUUGUUGUGUAUAUUAUUUAUUUGGCAAAAGGCUUUUACGUUUUUUUGAGGGUUUUGGGGAUUUGGAUGGCAUUGGGGGAUUUGAUGGCGUCUCGGUUUUCGCAAACUUCGGUGGCUGUGGUGUCCAAUCACUACGAUGACUACGCUUCCAGUCAUGGUGAGGACGCUGGAGAUUCAUCCUCGCAGAGGAGAGAUUCGGAGACUGCGAGCAGUAGUUAUGGCAAUGCUGCUGUCACCACAACAAGUAUGGCCUAUUUGCCCCAGACUAUUGUGCUCUGUGAGCUUCGUCAUGACGCAUUUGAAGCUUCCGUGCCUACUGGUCCAUCUGACAGUGGCCUUGUAUCCAAAUGGCGGCCUAAGGACAGAAUGAGGACAGGAUGUGUAGCUCUAGUUUUAUGUUUACACAUUAGUGUUGAUCCACCUGAUGUCAUAAAGAUAUCACCUUGUGCCAGAAUGGAGUGCUGGAUAGAUCCAUUUUCAAUGGCACCUCAAAAAGCUCUUGAUACAAUUGGGAAAACCUUAAUUAAGCAGUAUGAAAGAUGGCAACCUAAGGCUCGUUAUAAAUGUGAACUUGAUCCUACUGUCGAUGAUGUUAAGAAACUUUGUAAUAAUUUUCGAAGAUAUGCCAAGUCUGAGAGAGUUCUGUUUCACUAUAAUGGACAUGGUGUUCCAAAGCCAACUGCUAAUGGUGAAAUUUGGCUGUUUAAUAAGAGCUAUACACAGUAUAUCCCUUUGCCAAUCAGUGAUCUUGAUUCCUUGUUGAGGACUCCAUCAAUCUAUGUUUUUGACUGCUCUGCUGCUGGGAGGAUUGUCAAUGCAUUUUUAGAGCUUCAUGACUGGAAUUCUUCUAGUUCUACUGGAUCUGUGAAGGACUGUAUUUUGCUUGCAGCCUGUGAAGCACAUGAGACUCUUCCUCAGAGUGUAGAAUUUCCUGCUGAUGUGUUUACUUCUUGCCUCACUACACCUAUCAAGAUGGCGUUGAGAUGGUUCUGCAAACGUUCAUUAUUACAUGAGUCCCUUGACCAUUCACUAAUAGAUAAAAUUCCUGGUCGACAAAAUGACCGUAAAACACUGCUUGGAGAAUUGAAUUGGAUCUUUACAGCAGUGACAGACACGAUUGCUUGGAAUGUUCUCCCUCAUGAUCUUUUCCAGAGACUGUUCAGACAAGAUUUGUUAGUUGCCAGUUUGUUCAGAAAUUUUUUACUGGCUGAGAGGAUUAUGCGUUCUGCAAAUUGUUCUCCAGUUUCUCUCCCAAUGUUGCCGCCAACUCAUCAGCAUCAUAUGUGGGAUGCAUGGGAUAUGGCUGCUGAAAUUUGCCUAUCUCAGCUUCCAUUGUUGGUUGAGGAUCCUAAUGCCGAGUUCCAGGUCUGUAAUAGAUUUUGACUUAAUUUUUGCAAGCAUCUGGAUUUUGGAACAAUGAUGAUUCCAUACCCUUAGCUUAUAACCUUUUAUUUUGUGUGUAAUGUGUGCUUGUUUUGUGUCAGCCAAGUCCUUUUUUCACUGAGCAGCUGAUGGCUUUUGAGGUUUGGUUGGAUCAUGGAUCUGAAGAUAAGAAGCCACCAGAGCAGUUGCCUAUUGUUCUCCAGGUUCUACUUAGUCAAAGCCAUCGGUUUAAAGCACUGGUGCUUCUUGGGAGAUUUCUCGAUAUGGGAUCCUGGGCUGUAGAUCUGGCAUUAUCUGUUGGAAUAUUUCCAUAUGUUUUGAAGCUGUUGCAAACAACAACACCAGAACUAAGGCAAAUUCUCGUAUUCAUAUGGACAAAAAUUCUGGCACUUGACAAGUCAUGCCAAGUUGAUCUUGUUAAGGAUGGGGGACAUGCAUAUUUUAUCAGGUUUCUGGAUAGCAUGGAAGCAUAUCCCGAACAGCGAGCAAUGGCUGCAUUUGUUUUGGCUGUUAUUGUUGAUGGGCACAGAAGGGGUCAAGAGGCUUGUACUGAAGCUGGUGUGGUUCUUGUGUGCUUGAAGCACCUUCAGGGUUCAAUGCCGAAUAACGGUCAAUCUGAGCCUCUAUUUCUUCAGUGGCUUUGCCUGUGUUUAGGAAAGUUGUGGGAGGAUUUCACUGAGGCUCAAAUUAUGGGUUUGCAGGCAGAUGCACCUGCUAUAUAUGCUCCUCUGCUCUCAGAGCCCCAACCUGAGGUUAGGGCUUCUGCUGUCUUUGCAUUGGGAACCUUGCUUGAUGUUGGAGGUGAUGCAUGCAGAGAUGG